Molecule: long non-coding RNA, 704 nt
Filed under: Erythranthe guttata (spotted monkey flower)
Lineage: Eukaryota; Viridiplantae; Streptophyta; Magnoliopsida; Lamiales; Phrymaceae
Description: long non-coding RNA (EGUT_LNC001992)
Source: RNAcentral
CGCCACCGCCACCUUGGUUAGGUUGCUUUGUUUCUUCAACCGAUUCCACUUCAUUCUCUAUUAAUAUUGAACCAAAUUAUAAAUUUCAAUCAAUUUGUGUAUAGGGACCAUUUAGUAAUUACCUAUAUAAAUUAUAUCGAAUUACUAAAAGAAACUCUAUAUUUUAUUAAUAUUAAUAAAAAUCAUGUGAUUUUUUAUUAAUAUGGUAUUAAUAACACAAAGAUAUUUUACUAUUAUUGAAUUUUGCUAAAAAAAUUAAAUUAAAUGUUUUUUUUAUAAUAAAAGUAACUCGGAUAUAUUUCUAUUAUUAAAGCAAAAUAUAUAUCAUACCAGAGCCGCGACAACAAUAGCGAUUGCAACCGUAGCGGCCCCAUCCGCCGCAACAAUACCUAUUGCGGCAGUAACCACCACCGCCGCCACCGCCACCACCACCUUGGUUAAUUUCCUUCAAUUCAUCACCUAUAAACACAAUACACACAAGAAUUAAUAUCAUAUAGGGAAAAAAACGAAACAAAAUCGAUCAAUAACUAAAAUUGUAAUAUAUAAUACCUUUUAUUUCGUUUGGAGCGACUUCAUUAGUGCGCUCUUUUGACGCCUCGUCUGCGAAAACUGAACAAAGUAAAAGAACAAAGGCAAAGAAAACAAGAAAACAUUUGGAAUUCAUUUUUGGUAACAUGGUUUAAUUAUAUAUAGUAGGAAUUAUU